AGAGUUUGAUCAUGGCUCAGAAUGAACGUUGGCGGCGUGCCUAACACAUGCAAGUCGAGCGAGAAAGCUCCUUCGGGAGUGAGUAAAGCGGCGAACGGGUGUCUAACACGUAAGAAUCUUCCCUUCAGUGAAGAAUACCCUCGAGAAAUCGGGGUUAAUACUGCAUAAUCCCUACGGGGCAAAGGUGGCUUUAUGCUGCCGCUGAAGGAUGAGCUUGCGGGCUAUUAGCUAGUUGGAGAGGUAAAGGCUCACCAAGGCGAUGAUGGCUAGCCGGCCUGAGAGGGUGUACGGCCACAUUGGGACUGAGACACGGCCCAGACUCCUACGGGAGGCAGCAGUGGGGAAUAUUGCGCAAUGGGCGAAAGCCUGACGCAGCGACGCCGCGUGGAGGACGAAGGUCUUCGGAUUGUAAACUCCUGUUAAGUGGGAAGAAAACCCAAUCUCUAAUAUAGGUUGGGCAUGACGGUACCACUAAAGAAAGCACUGGCUAACCUCGUGCCAGCAGCCGCGGUAAUACGAGGGGUGCAAACGUUAUUCGGAUUUACUGGGUGUAAAGGGUGUGUAGACGGUCUGUUAAGUUCGUUGUUAAAUUUUUCGGCCUAACUGAAAACUUGCGAUGAAAACUGGCGGACUAGAGGGUGAAAGAGAGAAGUGGAAUUCUCGGAGUAGCGGUAAAAUGCGUAGAUCUCGAGAGGAACACCGAUGGCGAAAGCAGCUUCUUGGUUCACAUCUGACGUUGAAACACGAAAGCGUGGGGAGCAAACAGGAUUAGAUACCCUGGUAGUCCACGCUGUAAACGAUGAUCACUGGAUGUCAGCUUUGCUUUGCAAAGUUGGUAUCGAAGCUAACGCGUUAAGUGAUCCACCUGGGAACUACGAUCGCAAGAUUAAACUCAAAGGAAUUGACGGGGGUCCGCACAGCGGUGACAUGUGGUUUAUCGACACUACGCGAGGACUUACUGGGCUUGACAUGCUCUUGCCGUUGUAG
Molecule: ribosomal RNA, 987 nt
Filed under: uncultured bacterium
Lineage: Bacteria
Description: bacterial SSU rRNA
Rfam family: Bacterial small subunit ribosomal RNA
Source: RNAcentral